This 253-nucleotide ribosomal RNA is filed under the name uncultured bacterium. RNAcentral's name for it is "partial 16S ribosomal RNA". It matches the Rfam family "Bacterial small subunit ribosomal RNA", at positions 524 to 776 of the family's 1533-position model. The record is from RNAcentral.
UACGUAGGGUGCGAGCGUUAAUCGGAAUUACUGGGCGUAAAGCGUGCGCAGGCGGUUCGCCAAGUCAGGUGUGAAAUCCCCGGGCUUAACCUGGGAAUUGCGCUUGAAACUAGCGGGCUUGAGUGUGGCAGAGGGGGGUGGAAUUCCACGUGUAGCAGUGAAAUGCGUAGAGAUGUGGAGGAACACCGAUGGCGAAGGCAGCCCCCUGGGUCAACACUGACGCUCACGCACGAAAGCGUGGGGAGCAAACAGG